AUACUUACCUGGCGUAGAGAUAACCGUGAUCAACAAGGCGGUUUCUCCAGGGCGAGGCCUGUCCAUUGCACUUCGGACGGGUUGACCCUUGCGAAUAUCCCUAAUGUGGAUAUCUCGGACGUAUUAUUUUUGGUAGCCGGGACUGCGUUCGCGCUAUCCCGA
This 162-nucleotide small nuclear RNA is filed under the name Copidosoma floridanum. RNAcentral's name for it is "U1 spliceosomal RNA". It matches the Rfam family "U1 spliceosomal RNA". Rfam says of the family: U1 is a small nuclear RNA (snRNA) component of the spliceosome (involved in pre-mRNA splicing). Its 5' end forms complementary base pairs with the 5' splice junction, thus defining the 5' donor site of an intron. The record is from RNAcentral. Lineage: Eukaryota; Metazoa; Arthropoda; Insecta; Hymenoptera; Encyrtidae.